This 17228-nucleotide long non-coding RNA is filed under the name Vitis vinifera (wine grape). RNAcentral's name for it is "long non-coding RNA (VVIN_LNC004863)". The record is from RNAcentral. Lineage: Eukaryota; Viridiplantae; Streptophyta; Magnoliopsida; Vitales; Vitaceae.
CUAGUAACAGCCUUGUAGCCAUAGUUGGUGUAGUAUGAGCAAGUGGGGUAUGAAGUAGGUAGGUGAGUAUUGCAAUGAAAUUUCCAGCACUGCUUCCUGAAUUAAGAAAUCACAUACCCAAGUCUUAGUCGUCGUCGUCGUCGUACCGUGUGAGAACCGGGAAGAAUCUUUGCUCGUAGACUGGCUUUUGUAGUCUUUCUUUAACAAUUACAAGUUAUCUGAAUUCCCUUCAUCCUCCUAUAUAAUAUUGUUUUGGUCUUGUUCUUGUUGCAUUGUGGCUAGGCAUCUCCAUGGAAGGAAGGAGGAUGAAUCAAGUUCCUUUGUAUGAAUCAAUUUCUCUGCUCUUUUUUUUUUUCAAUCCUUGAAUCGAAUCAUUGCUUAGUUCUUGCUUUAAUUUCUCCAUUUUCUGUUGGGUCUUUGAUUGCAGGUUUAGCUCUGCAAGAGAACUGGGAAAUUUAAUUGUGACCUCCAAUCUAAUCGACUCUGCUUUGACUAAAAUUCUUGAGCUUCAAAGAGACCAAACAGCCUUGCUUUCCCCCGUUCAAUACAGAGUUUUUUUAUCCAUCUCCCAACUGCACAAUUGUAGCUUUUGUCUCUUCACCUGACUGCACUCAAAACCCUCUUCCUGGACAAGGAGAUUUAGUUCCCUCUCCUCUCUUUGACUUCCUCUGCACCGAAGAAUACAAGUCCGUCUCCAUUAACAGAGCUGCAUUAACCCUCUUUACCUCUCUCCACGAUCAUCUCUCUGGACUAAAAACUCAGGUCAAAAUAUGAUAGUUGUUUUUAUUUUCGUUUCCUUUUUGUUAACAAUUGUGAGACAUGAAACAGCUUGACCAUGAGAUCUCUCUCAUAGAGUCAAACUACCUGAAGAAGAAGAAGACGUUACACAUAUCCAUCUGCGUUGCAUCAUCGCAUUACCCAUUGAUCGGUUGUGAUUCAACUCUUAAUAGGAAGACAGUAGAACUGGUGUUGGUAUCUGUUUUUAGAUCAGCUUAUAUGUAUCUUGUUGCUAAAAAGGGAAUGUUUAGAAGUGAGAUUAAUGGGAUUAUUCUGACAUGGAUUUCAUAUGGUUACCUGUUUUGCAGUUGACUGUGAUUGAAGGUCAAUUAAUCAUCACUGGGCACUCCCUGGGAGGAGCCGUUGCUUCUCUCUUCACCUUAUGCCUGCUAGAUGAAAAUUUAUUAAAACCCAAAUGCCGCCCCUUUUGUAUCACCUUUGGUUCACCCCUCGUCGGCGGCUUUGGCCUCCAACACUCCAUAUGGAAUUCUUUCUUCCUGCAUGUAGUGUCUAACCAAGACCCAGUCCCCGGUCUCUUCCUCCCAUCUGGCAGAGGCAGAUCUACGCCCACAUCCUCCCAUUCACAAACUACCGGUUACAAGCCCUUUGGGACAUAUCUCUUGUGCUCUGAACUUGGUUGUGCUUGUUUUGACAACCCUGAUUUAAUUUUGGAAUUGCUGAAAGUCAUAUCAUCAGAGGUUGCCGGAGGAUUGCAGGAUGUUGAUUAUGGGGAGAUUUUAAGAAACCUCAAGGAGAGGGCAAUCUGCAAGGGACUUCCGCAGGUGGGUGAAAGGUUUGCAAAUCCAUUUUCAGCUGGGAUCAUCAUGGAACUUGAGACAAUUGGAUUUAAUCAAACAAAGGUAAACAGCUUUCUCCCAUCUAAUGAUGUUAUGGAACAUGGUUUACACCUCAUUAAAUACUGCAACAACUGCCCUAUUUAGAUUUACCUUCUUGUUCUUUGGGAUUUUCCAUAACUAGACUCAUUUUUUAAUUUCAUGGCAGCUGCUGCAGCAUAACAUUGAUAUCGAGACUGUGAUAAGCGCAAUGGAAGCGGAAGCAAGAAACCUAACCCAGAAAAAUAAAGCUUCCGAUGCCAAGAAACUGAAUGAAAUAAAAAUAGACAUGACCCGGCUAGAAUUGUAUAAGAAGAAUUCGAACAUGGGUUACUACGAUUGCUUCAAAAACCAGGGGUCUAAAAGGGACAUCCACGUUGAACAGUUUAGGGUAAACCUCACAGGGUACUGGGAAGGCAUGGUUGCACAAAUACAGAGGAAGCCUCAUAAGGAAGGAGCAACAUUUCGAACCCGUUGGCUCUAUGCAGGGACGGUUUAUAGAAGAAUGGUUGAACCACUGGACAUUGCUGCCUUCUACAGAGAGGGUAGAAAAGACUACAUGAAUAAAAGAUCUGCACAUUACAAGCUGUUGCAGGAAUGGUAUGAGGAAGAUGUGAAACCCCCCUCUAGAGAUAAGCUUGAUUCCAAGAAGCAAAAGGUGUCCAGUAUCCUAACUGAGGAUUCUUGCUUUUGGGCACAUGUGGAGGAGGCUAUCUUGUCAUGCGAAUUGCUCAAGAGUGAAAACUGUAAUCUUGAGGAGGGAAAAUCAUCAUGGGAUAAUCUGGUUAAGUUCGAGGAGUAUGUAAUGGAACAGAUUGACAACUAUGCAGUGUCCCCUGAGAUUUUCUUGGAGAAAAGCAGCUUCAUGAAAUGGAGGGGACUGUAUGAGGGCUACAUAGAUACUCGCAGUAAUUCCCAUAGCUCGCCAUUGAUCAGCUUUAUGAAGAAUCGUAGUUAUAGACAAUAUGGAUAGAGGGGUAAUCCAGUUUGUGUGUUGUGUGUAUUGUUUUGUGAGCAUUCAAUGGAUAGAACUAGAAAGAGUGUGACCUUUUCCUUUUUUUUUUCAGUUGCUGCCCAUAUUCUCAGCACUAUUUUCUUCCUUCUUUUCCUCAGUUUUUUUGUUAAGAAAUGAAUAUUAUGAUGUUGCCGGGAUGCACUUUCAUUUUUGUUCCAUUACAUUGUGUUUUAUUCAUAUCCUAAACAAAUAAAUGUAAACAAGAAAAUCAAAUGAGACUUCAAAGAGUCUGUUCCUUUUAAAGCAAGGGAAAAAAAGGACAUGUUUGUUUACUUCCACAGCUGGGUAGAUUCAACUCCACCAAAAUUGGCAACAACUUCCCAUUGAAAAAUUCCUUUUAAGCUUGAAUGACAUAAAACUAGAUAUGUUCCAGCUAGAAUGGUACAAGAAAGAAAUCAAAAGAUGAGCACAAUGGGUUAUUAUGACAGCUUUAGAAACCUGGGGUGUAAAAGAGACAUUAAAAUGGAACCGAGGGGAAGACAUUGUAGAACAAGUAAAGAGGAAGCCUCACCAGGAAGGGCAGCUUUGCAAACCCUCUGGCUCUGUACAGGAACGAAUUAUAGAAAGAUGGUUGAACCACUUGACAUUGCUGCCUACCACAGAGAGGGUGGAAGAAACUACAUAACCAAUGGAGGAUGUAAACAUUACACGCUAUUAGAGCAAUGAUGCAAUGAAGAGAAGGGGACUUUGUCUUCCAAUAAUUUAAGAAAAUAAAACCAAAUAAUGCCAGAAUUUGGGUUGAGAAACACCCAAAAGAUAGUGGCCCAAUAUGAAGUAGUCACAAAACUAGUAACAGCCUUGUGGCCAUAGUUGGUGUAGUAUGAGCAAGUGGGGUAUGAAGUAGGUAGGUGAGUAUUGCAAUGAAAUUUCCAGCACUGCUUCCUGAAUUAAGAAAUCACAUACUCAAGUCUUAAUCGUUGUCAUCAUACCGUGUGAGAACCGAGGAAGAAUCUUUGCUCUUAGACUGGAUUUUGUAGUCUUUCUUUAACAAUUACAAGUUAUCUGAAUUCCCUUCAUCCUCCUAUAUAAUAUUGUUUUUGGUCUUGUUCUUGUUGCAUUGUGGCUAGGCAUCUCCAUGGGAGGAAGGAGGAUGAAUCAAGUUCCUUUGUAUGAAUCAAUUUCUCUGCUCUUUUUUUUUUCAAUCCUUGAAUCGAAUCAUUGCUUAGUUCUUGCUUUAAUUUCUCCAUUUUCUGUUGGGUCUUUGAUUGCAGGUUUAGCUCUGCAAGAAAACUGGGAAAUUUAAUUGUGACCUCCAAUCUAAUCGACUCUGCUUUGACUAAAAUUCUUGAGCUUCAAAGAGACCAAACAGCCUUGCCUUCCCCCGUUCAAUACAGAGUUUUUUAUCCAUCUCCCAACUGCACAAUUGUAGCUUUUGUCUCUUCACCUGACUGCACUCAAAACCCUCUUCCUGGACAAGGAGAUUUAGUUCCCUCUCCUCUCUUUGACUUCCUCUGCACCGAAGAAUACAAGUCCGUCUCCAUUAACAGAGCUGCAUUAACCCUCUUUACCUCUCUCCACGAUCAUCUCUCUGGACUAAAAACUCAGGUCAAAAUAUGAUAGUUGUUUUUAUUUUCGUUUCCUUUUUGUUAACAAUUGGGAGACAUGAAACAGCUUGACCAUGAGAUCUCUCUCAUAGAGUCAAACUACCUGAAGAAGAAGAAGACGUUACACAUAUCCAUCUGCGCUGCAUCAUCGCAUUACCCAUUGAUCGGUUGUGAUUCAACUCUUAAUAGGAAGACAGUAGAACUGGUGUUGGUAUCUGUUUUUAGAUCAGCUUAUAUGUAUCUUGUUGCUAAAAAGGGAAUGUUUAGAAGUGAGAUUAAUGGGAUUAUUCUGACAUGGAUUUCAUAUGGUUACCUGUUUUGCAGUUGACUGUGAUUGAAGGUCGAUUAAUCAUUACUGGGUACUCGAUGGGAGGAUCCGUUGCUUCUCUCUUCACCUUAUGCCUGUUAGAAGUCAUCAAUUUAUCAAAACCCAAAUGCCGCCCCAUUUGUAUCACCUUUGGUUCACCCCUCAUAGGCGACUUUGGCCUCCAACACUCCAAUUGGAAUUCUUUCUUCUUGCAUGUAGUGUCCAACCAAGAUCUAGUCCCCGGACUCUUCCUCCCAUCCGACAGAUCUCCUCCCACAUCCUCCCAUUCACAAACUACUGGUUACAAGCCCUUUGGGACAUAUCUCUUGUGCUCUGAACUUGGUUGUGCUUGUUUUGACAACUCUGAUUUAAUUUUGGAAUUGCUGAAAGUCAUAUCAUCAGAGGUUGCCAGAGGAUUGCGGGAUGUUGAUUACAGGAAGAUUUUAAGAAACCUCAAGGAGAGGGCAAUCUGCAAGGGACUUCCGCAGGUGGGUGAAAGGUUUGCAAAUCCAUUUUCAGCUGGGAUCAUCAUGGAACUUGAGACGAUUGGAUUUAAUGAAACAAAGGUAAACAGCUUUCUCCCAUCUACUGAUGUUAUGGAACAUGGUUUACACAUCAUUAAAUACUGCAACAACUGCCCUAUUUAGAUUUAGGGCAAUGAUGAAAAUAUCAGUAAUCACGGAUAUAUCAGUAUUUCGAUUUUACGGAUAUAUCGGAUAUAUCGGAGAUAUAUCGGUAGAUAUUUUGAAAAAAAAUAUCGGCAAGCUUAAAAUUGUUAAAAACUCAUGAAAAUAUAAGAAAAUCUCAUAAUAAUAUAAUUAAAAGUAUAAUAGACAUUUUAAAGUUAUUUUAUUGAAAAUUUUGAUAUAUGUAUAACAUGAUUUAUCAUAUUUGAUAAUAAUAUCGUAUGCGUCGAUAAAAAUAUGAAUUUUAUAAGUGUACAUUUAUUAUUAAAUUACACCUAAUAUUAUGAUAUCUGAUUAUAAUAUGUCUAAUUUUAAAAUAUAUAUUAGUAUUAAAAUAUGAUCCAUUUAAUUCAAUUGUAUUAAACAAUAUAAAAUAAAUAAUGAUAUAUAUAUAUAUAUAUAUAAUUUUUUAAUAUUUAAUUAAUUAUUAAUGAUAUUAAAAACAUUAUGAAGAAAAUUAUAUAAUUUUUUAAUUUUUGGUAAUUAAUUAAAAGACUUUGCAUUUAAUUAUAAAUUAAUUAUAAUUAAUUUACUCUUUAAAAUAUUCUUAUAUUUUCUUUAUAUAAUGAAUUUAAGUAUAUAUAUAGUUGUUGCAUAUUAUAUAUUAAAGGACAACUUAGCCCAAGUGGUAAGCGAGUGAACCCCAAUGUGAGGCAUUGUAGCACGUGCACUGUAGCAUCACUGUAGCGACUCUGACUUUCGUUGACCCGCAUUGACUACACGAUAUAUCGGAGAAAAAUCACUGAUUUAUCGCCAAAUCACCAAUAAAUCGCCGAUUUCUCGCGAUAAAUACCAAAAUAUAGUGUCGAAACCCUUCGAUACACGAUUUUUCGGCGCAUUUUCUUACUUGGAUUUACCUUUUUGUUCUUUGGGAUCUUCCAUGACUCAUUUUUUAAUGCCAUUUUAUUUUCCUUUUUGUUUCUAAAUUUUUAAAAAAUCGUUUUCACUUCUUUUUUUUAAGAAAAUUUUGGCAAAUUUUGAAAAUAUAAUAUUAGUGUUUUCACUUCUUUCUUUUUUUUUUUUUUCUUUUUUUUUUUAAACUCAAUUUUCUAAAAAAUGAAAAUAGAAAAACAUUGUCUAAACAUGUUUGUAAACUUAAUUUUAUUUUUUUAUAAAUGAAAAAAAAAAUCUAAAUGAGUAAGGCUUUAUUAAUUUUAAUUUUUUUCUUUUCCUUAUAUUUUCUUAUUUUAUUCCAAAUUUUCUUGCAACCAAACAUAAUCUAAAUGUUUACAACUUUUAUUGUAAGGAAUGAAUGACACUACUUUGUGAACUUUUAUGAUAAUAUUUUGAAUCAUAAAUUGUGUUUUUUUUAGUAAUAUCAAUUUUAUUACCAAUGACUUAAUUGUUAAUAACAAAAUAUAAUAUUUAUAAAUAUUUUUAUUCUCAACAGGCUACAAUUUUUACUCUUGUGAUAAAAAAAAUUUUGUCAUAAAUUACACAUUAUGAUGAGUUUUUCUAUUUUCCUUAUCAGCCAAUUCAACAAAUAUCAUAUAUAUUGUAAUGGCUAACAAAUUUUCACAUAAAUUUUUUAUAAGAUAAAGUAGAAUGGAAUUAUUCAAUUUCAAAAAAAAAAAAAAUGGUACCUAAUGAAAAAGAUAAAAUAUAUAGAUCAUCUCGAAGAAAUCAGGAAAGAUAAAUGAUGAGACCAUAUAUAGGACCCUUGAUGGAGACUAUUUUAAUUGAAGUGGUGUGCUCCUUCCGACUCAGAACAUGUUCAGCAUUGCACACAAACUAACAUCGUCGAUCUUGAGUAUGAAAAAGGUGAUUAGAUUCCAAGGUUGUCGUUUGUCCCAACUCCUCAUAUUAGAGGUGAUGCUCAAGCUAACGUGCCUCGCAGUUGAGCCCCGGCCAAUCGGUCUAAUAUGCUUUUCCAAUGGUGAGUUUCACUGCCACCAUGUAUUACAUUAAUUCCGAUAGCGCACAAGUUGUGUUUGUGCUAUUGCUUUUUGCCCUCACAAACAUAUACACAAGAGACAUUCAGACCAGAUCUGUUCUACCAUCCUCUAGGAAAGCAUUGUAGGUCAUUUGAAAUUGGGAUUUCAGCACCAGAGUCAAAUUGCCUUCCUUCCUGAAAGAUGAGCAUUUUUUAUACUCUUACAUCGGCUUUUAUGGAAAUGAAAUCAGCUUCUCAUUCUGUUACAUUUUUCAAUUUUGCUGCCUAUAACUGCUCACUGCCUGUUUGUGAGACAUUAUCCAGAUUUUCCCUGAUCAAUUAUAGAGAGGUCAUUGGACUCAUCCAUGAUUGGAAUUUCCUGUUAUCAUUAUUUGCAAAUCAUCAACCAUUUGUCAUGAUAUCUUAAGUUAAGCUGAGCACGAAUUUCAGCUAAGAUCCUCAGAACUAGAAAUAUGCACUGCAGGUAUUACUUGAUAUGUGAAUAUCCAAUACAAUAUUUUUUUACUAAGAGGAAUACGAAUUUGAAACACUUUCCAAUAAUUUAUCAAGUCAUAUUUUCGUGCUGUCGUGAUACAUGUGUCUACUGUAUGCAUGGCUUUUCUUUUCUACACAUGCCUUUAUCUUUGCACAUGACUCUUUUGAUACACGCCAGCAUCAAGGCAAUUGCCUAAAUCUAAAUCACAUCCUUUGUGUCACGUCUUCCUUGUUACCACGGUCCUCUUGUACACCAUGGUCCCUUAAUGUAACUUGUGCCACAAGCCCUUUGUGCAUGAAUUCAAAUUGUUCAAUCAUUUCGCCAUUUACACCUUUUAAGGUCCAAUAAGCGUAUACAAGAGACUACACUCAUUCUAGAUGAUAAAGUACAUUCAACUAACUACUCUUGCUAAUGAGCAUAUCCAAGUCAAUACAUAAGAUUAAUUAUUACAUAUGGUAAUUGAAACCCUGUUUAAAUAAAUAGUGACACAAAUAUAAAAAAUAUAUAUAUUUAAAAAUAAAUAAAUAACAAUUUAGAGAAUUUCAUAACUUAGUAUCAAACCUAUUGUAGGAAAGAGUAUUAUACAAUGUAGGGUUUAGGAUCAAAGUUAACCUAAGAUCAAUUUUAAGUUUUAAGACCAAUUCAAAUUCAAAACUAAGGUUUUAAGUUUCAAAAAUAUAUCUCUUAAACCAAUUAAAUAGAAAAAAGAAAAUUACAAAGAAAAUUUCUUCCUCAUCGGUUUCUUUUAUCUUGAAAACUAAAGGAAAUAUAUAUCAAUAUUUGAGAUGGAAAUUCAUAAUCUUAGAAACACAAAGAACAAAGAGAGUAUGAAGAGACCAUACCAUGAGAGAUUUUCCAAAAGGUUGGUAAACCAUGGUAAUCACCUUUGAGUUUUGCUGAGAAAAACAAACCUUAAUUUUUAUUUUUAUUUUUUUAUCAUUUUUUCUCUUGUGGUGUACAUUUAAGAAAAACAAAUCUUAAAAAAAAAAAAAAAAAAACCAAAUAAUGCCAGAAUUUGGGUUGAGAAACACCCAAAAGAUAGUGGCCCAAUACAUGUGCCUAAGAAAAUCUUCAUGAGCCGAUAAACAUAGUCACAAAACUAGUAACAGCCUUGUAGCCAUAGUUGGUGUAGUAUGAGCAAGUGGGGUAUGAAGUAGGUAGGUGAGUAUUGCAAUGAAAUUUCCAGCACUGCUUCCUGAAUUAAGAAAUCACAUACCCAAGUCUUAGUCGUCGUCGUCGUACCGUGUGAGAACCGGGAAGAAUCUUUGCUCGUAGAGUGGCUUUUGUAGUCUUUCUUUAACAAUUACAAGUUAUCUGAAUUCCCUUCAUCCUCCUAUAUAAUAUUGUUUUUGGUCUUGUUCUUGUUGCAUUGUGGCUAGGCAUCUCCAUGGAAGGAAGGAGGAUGAAUCAAGUUCCUUUGUAUGAAUCAAUUUCUCUGCUCUUUUUCUUUUCAAUCCGUGAAUCGAAUCAUUGCUUAGUUCUUGCUUUAAUUUCUCCAUUUUCUGUUGGGUCUUUGACUGCAGGUUUAGCUCUGCAAGAGAACUGGGAAAUUUAAUGGUGACCUCCAAUCUAAUCGACUCUGCUUUGACUAAAAUUCUUGAGCUUCAAAGAGACCAAACAGCCUUGCUUUCCUCCGUUCAAUACAGAGUUUUUUAUCCAUCUCCCAAGUGCACAAUUGUAGCUUUUGUCUCUUCACCUGACUGCACUCAAAACCCUCUUCCUGGACAAGGAGAUUUAGUUCCGUCUCCUCUCUUUGACUUCCUCUGCACCGAAGAAUACAAGUCCGUCUCCAUUAACAGAGCUGCAUUAACCCUCUUUACCUCUUUCCACGAUCAUCUCUCUGGACUAAAAACUCAGGUCAAAAUAUGAUAGUUGUUUUUAUUUUCGUUUCCUUUUUGUUAACAAUUGUGAGACAUGAAACAGCUUGACCAUGAGAUCUCUCUCAUAGAGUCAAACUACCUGAAGAAGAAGAAGACGUUACACAUAUCCAUCUGCGUUGCAUCAUCGCAUUACCCAUUGAUCGGUUGUGAUUCAACUCUUAAUAGGAAGACAGUAGAACUGGUGUUGGUAUCUGUUUUUAGAUCAGCUUAUAUGUAUCUUGUUUCUAAAAAAGGUAAGUUUAGAAGUGAGAUUAAUGGGAUUAUUCUGACAUGGAUUCCAUAUGGUUACCUGUUUUGCAGUUGACUCAGAUUGAAGGUCAAUUAAUCAUCACUGGGCACUCCCUGGGAGGAUCCGUUGCUUCUCUCUUCACCUUAUGCCUGCUAGAUGGAAAUUUAUUAAAACCCAACUGCCGCCCCUUUUGUAUCACCUUUGGUUCACCCCUCAUCGGCGGCUUUGGCCUCCAACACUCCAUAUGGAAUUCUUUCUUCCUGCAUGUAGUGUCUAACCAAGACCCAGUCCCCGGUCUCUUCCUCCCAUCUGGCAGAGGCAGAUCUACGCCCACAUCCUCCCAUUCACAAACUACCGGUUACAAGCCCUUUGGGACAUAUCUCUUGUGCUCUGAACUUGGUUGUGCUUGUUUGGAAAAGCCUGAUUUAAUUUUGGGAUUGCUGAAAGUCAGAUCAUCCGAGGUUGCCGGAGGAUUGCAGGAUGUUGAUUAUGGGGAGAUUUUAAGAAACCUCAAGGAGAGGGCAAUCUGCAAGGGACUUCAGCAGGUGGGUGAAAGGUUUGCAGAUCCUUUUACAGCUGGGAUCAUCAUGGACCUUGAGAUAAUUGGAUUUGAUCAAACAAAGGUAAACAGCUAGCUUUCUCCCAUCUAAUGAUGUUAUGAAACAUGGUUUACACUUCACCAAAUACUGCAACAACUGCCCUAUUUAGAUUUGCCGUCUUGUUCUUUGGGAUCUUCCAUAACUAGACUCAUUUUUUAAUUUCAUGGCAGCUGCUGCAGCAUAACAUUGAUAUCGAGACUGUGAUAAGCACAAUGGAAGAGGAAGCCAGAAACCCAACCAAAAAAAAUAAAGCUUUCGAUGCCAAGAUUCUGAAUCACAAAAAAAAAGACAUGGCCGGGCUAGAAUGGUAUAAGAAGAAAUCAAAAGAUCUGAACAAGGGUUACUACGACUGCUUCAAAAACCAGGGGUCAAAAAGGGACAUUAAAAUUGAACAGUAUGGGGGACACCUCACAUUAUACUGGAAAGACAUGGUUGCACAAGUACAGAGGAAGCCCCAGAAGGAAGGAGCAACAUUUCGAACCCGUUGGCUCUAUGCAGGGACGGUUUAUAGAAGAAUGGUUGAACCACUGGACAUUGCUGCCUUCUACGUAGAGGGUGGAACAGACUACAUGAAGAAUGAAAGAUCUCUUCAUUACAAGCUGUUGCAGCAAUGGUAUGAGGAAGAUGUGAAACCCCCCUCUAAGGAUAAGCUUGAUUCCAAGAAGCAAAAGGUGUCUGGUAUCCUAACUGAGGAUUCUUGCUUUUGGGCACAUGUGGAGGAGGCUAUCUUGUCAUGCGAAUUGCUUAAGAGUGAAAACUGUACUCUUGAGCAGGAAAAAUCAUCAUGGGAUAAUCUGGUUAAGUUCGAGGAGUAUGUAAUGGAACAGAUUAACAACUAUGCAGUGUCCCCUGAGAUUUUCUUGGGGGAAAGCAGCUUCAUGAAAUGGUGGGGACUGUAUGAGGGCUACAUAUAUGCUCGCAGUAAUUCCCAUAGGUCACCAUUGAUCAGCUUUAUGAAGAACGGUAGUUAUACAGAGUAUCGUUAGAGGGGUAAUCCAGUUUGUGUGUUGUGUGUAUUGUUUUGUGAGCAUUCAAUGGAUAGAACUAGAAAGAGUGUGACCUUUUUCCUUUUUUUCUUCUAGUUGCUGCCCAUAUUCUCAGCACUAUUUUCUUCCUUCUUUUCCUCAGUUUUUUCUUAAGAAAUGAAUAUUAUGAUGUUGCUGGGAUGCACUUUCAUUUUUGUUCCAUUACAUUGUGUUUUAUUCAUAUCCUAAACAAAUAAAUGUAAACAAGAAAAUCAAAUAAGACUUCAAAGAGUCUGUUCCUUUUAAAGCAAGGGAAAAAAAGGACAUGUUUGUUUACUUCCACAGCUGGGUAGAUUCAACUCCACCAAAAUUGGCAACAACUUCCCAUUGAAAAAUUCCUUCUAAGCUUGAAUGACAUAAAACUAGAUAUGUUCCAGCUAGAAUGGUACAAAAAAGAAAUCAAAAGAUGAGCACAAUGGGUUAUUAUGACAGCUUUAGAAACCAUCUUACAACACAUCCAUCAGAAUUUAGACUAUUCAUAGAAACAUUCUUAACAUGUAAAUCUACUAUUGCCAUGCACGUCAACAUAGAAUUUCUAAAAUGAUUGAAUAAAAUAAAUAAAACAAAAGAAACCCUUCCAAGAGAAUUUCAUAAUCUAAUGUCAAAUCUAUUACGAAGAUGAACAUGUAAAAUUUAAGGUUUAUAAUCAAAGUCGACUUGAAUCUGAGUUUUAAAACCAAUUUGCAGUUUUUAAGUUUGGAGACUAGAUCUCUUAAACCAAUUAAAUGUAAAAAACUAAAAAGAAAACUUCUUCAAAUUUUGAAAUGAGAAUGAGAAUGCAAUUCCUAACUAGUUUCUUCAUCAAAAAUCCCGAAAAAAAAAAAAAAAGAAGAGAGAGAGAGACCAUAGACGCCAGUGUUUGGGUUUAGAACCACCCAAGAGAGAGUAGUCCAAUAUAUGGGCUUAAGAAAAUCCUCAUGGGCCUAAGCUAAGACUAGGAACAAUCUUGUAUCCGUGGUUGGUUUAGUAUGAGCAUGUGUACUGCGAAGGAAGUAGCUGAGAAUUGCAAUGGAAUUUCCAGUACUGCUUCCUGAACGAACAAAUCGCAUACCCAAGAUUUGGUCGUCAACGCCAUGCUGGGUGAGAACCGGGGAAGCAUCUUCGCUCGUUGACGAGCUUUUGUAGUCCUUCUUUAACAAUUAUAAGGCAUCUGAAUUCCCUUCAUCCUCCCACACCAUUGUUUUUGGUCUUGUUCUUGUUGCUUUGUGACUACGCAUCUCCAUGGAAGGAAGGAGGAUGAACCAAGUUCCUUUGUAUGCAUCAAUUUUACUGUUUUUUUUUUCCUUUUUAAUCUUUGGAUCGAAUCAUUGCUUAGUUCUUGCUUAAUUUCUCCAUUUUAUGUUGGGUCUUUGAUUGCAGGUUUAGCUCUGCGCGAGAACUGGGAAAUUUAAUUGUGACCUCCAAUCUAAUCGACUCUGCUUUGACUAAAAUUCUUGAGCUUCAAAGAGACCAAACAGCCUUGCCUUCCCCCGUUCAAUACAGAGUUUUUUAUCCAUCUCCCAAGUGCACAAUUGUAGCUUUUGUCUCUUCACCUGACUGCACUCAAAACCCUCUUCCUGGACAAGGAGAUUUAGUUCCCUCUCCUCUCUUUGACUUCCUCUGCACCGAAGAAUACCCUUCCGUCUCCAUUAACGGAGCCGCAUUAACCCUCUUUACCUCUCUCUACGAUCAUCUCUCUGGACUAAUAGAUGAGGUCAAAAUCUGAUACUUGUUUUAAUUUACGUUAACUUUUCGUUAACAAUUGUGAGACACGUAUAUAUAUAUAUAUAUAUAUAUAUCUUGUGGAUAAAAGGAAAGUUUACAAGUGAGAAUAGUGGCAUUUUUCUGACAGAUUUCACACCGUUGCUUGUUUUGCACUUGACUGUGAUUGAAGGUCGAUUAAUCAUCACUGGGCACUCGAUGGGAGGAUCCGUUGCUUCUCUCUUCACCUUAUGCCUGCUAGAAGUCAUUAAUAUAUCAAAACCCAAAUGCCGCCCCAUUUGCAUCACAUUUGGUUCACCCCUCAUAGGCGACUUUGGCUUCCAACACUCCAAUUGGAAUUCUUUCUUCUUGCAUGUAGUGUCCAACCAAGAUCUAGUCCCCGGACUCUUCCUCCCAUCCGGCAGAUCUCCUCCCACAUCCUCCCAUUCACAAACUACUGGUUACAAGCCCUUUGGGACAUAUCUCUUGUGCUCUGAACUUGGUUGUGCUUGUUUUGACAACCCUGAUUUAAUUUUGGAAUUGCUGAAAGUCAUAUCAUCAGAGGUUGCCGGAGGAUUGCGGGAUGUUGAUUACAGGAAGAUUUUAAUAAACCUCAAGGAGAGGGCAAUCUUCAAGGGACUUCAGCAGGUGGGUGAAAGGUUUGCAGAUCCCUUGUCAGCUGGGAUCAUCAUGGACCUUGAGAUAAUUGGAUUUGAUCAAACAAAGGUAAACAGCUUUCUCCCAAUUAAUGAUGUAGCAUGGUUUACACUCAACUUCACCAAAACCUGCAACAACUGCCCUAUUUAGAUUUGCCUUCCGGUUCUUUGGGUUCUUCUAUAACUUCUCAUUUUUUAAAUCCAUGGCAGCUGUUGCGGCACAACAUUGAUAUCAACACUGUGAUAAGGAUACUGGGAGCGGAAGCCAGAAUCCUAGCCCACAAAAAUAAAGCUUCUGAUGCCAAGAAACUGAAUGACAUAAAAAUACACAUGGCCCAGCUAGAAUGGUAUAAGAAGAAAUCAAAAGAUCUGAACAAGGGUUACUACGACUGCUUCAAAAACCAGGGGUUAAAAAGGGACAUUAAAAUUGAACAGUAUAGGGGACACCUCACAAUAUACUGGAAAGACAUGGUUGCACAAGUACAGAGGAAGCCCCAGAAGGAAGGAGCAUCAUUUCGAACCAGUUGGCUCUAUCCAGGGACAACUUAUAGAAGAAUGGUUGAACCACUGGACAUUGCUGCCUUCUACAGAGAGGGUAGAACAGACUACAUAAACAAUGGAAGAUCUCCUCAUUACAAGCUGUUGCAGCAAUGGUAUGAGGAAGAUGUGAAGCCCCCAUCCAGAGAUAAGCUCGAUUCCAAGAAACUAAAGGUGUCUGGUAUCCUAACUGAGGAUUCUUUGUUUUGGGCACAUGUGGAGGAGGCUCUCUUGUCAUGCGAAUCGCUCAAGAGUGCAAACUCUACUCUUGAGCAGAGAAAAUCAUCAUGGGAUAAUCUGGUUAAGUUUGGGGAGUAUGUAAUGGAACAGAUUGGAAACUAUGCAGUGUCCCCUGAGAUUUUCUUGGGGGAAAGCAGCUUCAUGAAAUGGUGGGGAGUGUAUGAGGACUACAUAGAUGCUUCCAAUAAUUUCUAUGGGUCACCAUUGAUCAACUUUAUGAAGGACCGUAGUUAUAGACUGUAUGGUUAGAGGGCAAUCCAGUUUGUGUAUUGUGUUUAUUGUAUUGUGAGCAUUCAAUAGAUAAAACUAGAAAGAGCGUGACCUUUUUAUGACAACUUUAGAAACCAGGGGUUAAAAGAGACAUUACAAAUUGAAUUUUUUGAGAGGAAACCUCAAGAGUAUACUGGGAAGCCAUGGUGGAACAAGUAGAGAGGAAGCUUCGGAAGGAAGGAUCAAUGGUUGAACCACUUGACAUUGUUGCCUACUUCAGGGAGGGUGUAAGAAACAACAUAACCGAGGGAAGAUCUGAACAUUAAACAUUGUACAAUUAUUGUAAAUGUCUUAUACAUUACGUGUGAAAAUACCAAAAAAAAUUAUAUUCAACAUUUAUGUUUGUAUACAAGCAAUAUUUUGGAUAGUUUGAUAUAAAAAACAAAUGAAGAAAACGAAGAAAAACAUACAAAUAUAUUUACAAUGGACAAACUUAUACAAUUAGUGUAAAUGUCUUGUAUAUUUAGUACAAAAGUCUCGUACUUUGUAAAAAUAUAAAAAUAUAGUAUUUGACUUUUAUAUAUGUGUGAAAAUGUAAAAGGAAAAAGAAAAAUAGUUAGAGCAUUUGGUACCGUGAGUGAUGACUUCACCUAAAGAAAGGUUAAUGAAUAUUAUGGUCUCGAUGGAAGAGCGACUCCGGUAAAAUAUAUGGAUUAAAUUGAUGCUUUUCUUUUGACGAUGAAGUAGUUGAGUUAUGAAUACGAGGUUUUGCUAACAACAUUGAAGGCAAGGAUUCCCUAAUAUACUCCAAUUCAUAUUCAAUUUGUAGACCUUCAACUAACUACUCUUGCUAAUGAGCAUAUCCAAGUGAAUACAUAAGAUUAAUUAUUACAUAUGAUAAUUGAAACCCUGUUUAAAUAAAUAGUGACACAAAUAUAAAAAAUAUAUAUAUUUAAAAAUAAAUAAAUAAUAAUUUAGAGAAUUUCAUAACUUAGCAUCAAACCUAUUGUAGGAAAGAGUAUUAUACAAUGUAGGGUUUAGGAUCAAAGUUAACCUAAGAUCAAAUUUAAGUCUUAAGACCAAUUCACAUUCAAAACUAAGGUUUUAAAUUUCAAAAAUAUAUCUCUUAAACCAAUUAAAUGGAAAAAAGAAAAUUACAAAGAAAAUUUCUUCCUCAUCGGUUUCUUUUAUCUUGAAAACUAAAGGAAAUAUAUAUCAAUAUUUGAGAUGGAAAUUCAUAAUCUUAGAAACACAAAGAACAAAGAGAGUAUGAAGAGACCAUACCAUGAGAGAUUUUCCAAAAGGUUGGUAAACCAUGGUAAUCACCUUUGAGUUUUGCUGAGAAAAACAAACCUUAAUUUUUAUUUUUAUUUUUUUAUCAUUUUUUCUCUUGUGGUGUACAUUUAAGAAAAACAAAUCUUAAAAAAAAAAAAAAAAAAACCAAAUAAUGCCAGAAUUUGGGUUGAGAAACACCCAAAAGAUAGUGGCCCAAUACAUGUGCCUAAGAAAAUCUUCAUGAGCCGAUAAACAUAGUCACAAAACUAGGAACAGCCUUGUAGCCAUAGUUGGUGUAGUAUGAGCAAGUGGGGUAUGAAGUAGGUAGGUGAGUAUUGCAAUGAAAUUUCCAGCACUGCUUCCUGAAUUAAGAAAUCACAUACUCAAGUCUUAAUCGUUGUCAUCAUACCGUGUGAGAACCGAGGAAGAAUCUUUGCUCUUAGACUGGAUUUUGUAGUCUUUCUUUAACAAUUACAAGUUAUCUGAAUUCCCUUCAUCCUCCUAUAUAAUAUUGUUUUUGGUCUUGUUCUUGUUGCAUUGUGGCUAGGCAUCUCCAUGGGAGGAAGGAGGAUGAAUCAAGUUCCUUUGUAUGAAUCAAUUUCUCUGCUCUUUUUUUUUUCAAUCCUUGAAUCGAAUCAUUGCUUAGUUCUUGCUUUAAUUUCUCCAUUUUCUGUUGGGUCUUUGAUUGCAGGUUUAGCUCUGCAAGAAAACUGGGAAAUUUAAUUGUGACCUCCAAUCUAAUCGACUCUGCUUUGACUAAAAUUCUUGAGCUUCAAAGAGACCAAACAGCCUUGCCUUCCCCCGUUCAAUACAGAGUUUUUUAUCCAUCUCCCAAGUGCACAAUUGUAGCUUUUGUCUCUUCACCUGACUGCACUCAAAACCCUCUUCCUGGACAAGGAGAUUUAGUUCCCUCUCCUCUCUUUGACUUCCUCUGCACCGAAGAAUACAAGUCCGUCUCCAUUAACAGAGCUGCAUUAACCCUCUUUACCUCUCUCCACGAUCAUCUCUCUGGACUAAAAACUCAGGUCAAAAUAUGAUAGUUGUUUUUAUUUUCGUUUCCUUUUUGUUAACAAUUGUGAGACAUGAAACAGCUUGACCAUGAGAUCUCUCUCAUAGAGUCAAACUACCUGAAGAAGAAGAAGACGUUACACAUAUCCAUCUGCGCUGCAUCAUCGCAUUACCCAUUGAUCGGUUGUGAUUCAACUCUUAAUAGGAAGACAGUAGAACUGGUGUUGGUAUCUGUUUUUAGAUCAGCUUAUAUGUAUCUUGUUGCUAAAAAGGGAAAGUUUAGAAGUGAGAUUAAUGGGAUUAUUCUGACAUGGAUUUCAUAUGGUUACCUGUUUUGCAGUUGACUGUGAUUGAAGGU